AUGGUCAGAGUAAAUCCAGAUGAAUGCAUUUUAGCAUUGGACCAAACAAGGAAAAUACCAAUUACAGACCAGGAAGUAAACGAUGCAUUUGGUCUGCCACAAGGAAGCAGGACCAUUCCUCCAGGCCACUCAGAUUUAUCUGUAGUUUGUAUAGAGUUCAGCAGGUUGGCAUCAUCCAUGAGUACCGAAGGCGUACAUAGUUUGAAGGCUGCUGAAUUUAUCUUAUCUAAGGCAGUAGAUGAGAAUUCAAGCAAAGUGGAGUGUGAAUGCUUCAAGAUAGCUUUUGUAAUUUUCUCGUUUGGUCAUGUUCUGAACCCGUGCGCCAAGCACGACUACACUAGUGUUGAUUACUGGGCAGCACUGGUUAUGCCGUCGGAGAUAAAUUACUACGACUGGUGUAGGCUUGUCAAAUACAGUUUGAUGAAAGGGGUUAGGAAAAUGAAGAUUGACAUUCACAAUGGGAACACAACAAUCCACAUUAUUGGUUGUCACCUUCUCCUCCAGGUAUAUUGCACAACAAGAUAA
Molecule: ribosomal RNA, 525 nt
Filed under: Triticum aestivum (bread wheat)
Lineage: Eukaryota; Viridiplantae; Streptophyta; Magnoliopsida; Poales; Poaceae
Description: partial small subunit ribosomal RNA
Source: RNAcentral